This 466-nucleotide ribosomal RNA is filed under the name Vreelandella stevensii. Its description in RNAcentral is "partial 16S ribosomal RNA". It matches the Rfam family "Bacterial small subunit ribosomal RNA", at positions 337 to 795 of the family's 1533-position model. Lineage: Bacteria; Pseudomonadati; Pseudomonadota; Gammaproteobacteria; Oceanospirillales; Halomonadaceae. The record is from RNAcentral.
GCCUACGGGUGGCAGCAGUGGGGAAUAUUGGACAAUGGGCGAAAGCCUGAUCCAGCCAUGCCGCGUGUGUGAAGAAGGCCUUCGGGUUGUAAAGCACUUUCAGUGGGGAAGAAAGCCUUGGGGCUAAUACCCUCGAGGAAGGACAUCACCCACAGAAGAAGCACCGGCUAACUCCGUGCCAGCAGCCGCGGUAAUACGGAGGGUGCGAGCGUUAAUCGGAAUUACUGGGCGUAAAGCGCGCGUAGGCGGUCUGAUAAGCCGGUUGUGAAAGCCCCGGGCUCAACCUGGGAACGGCAUCCGGAACUGUCAGGCUAGAGUGCAGGAGAGGAAGGUAGAAUUCCCGGUGUAGCGGUGAAAUGCGUAGAGAUCGGGAGGAAUACCAGUGGCGAAGGCGGCCUUCUGGACUGACACUGACGCUGAGGUGCGAAAGCGUGGGUAGCAAACAGGAUUAGAUACCCCUGUAGUC